GCGGUGGAGCAUGUGGUUUAAUUUCGAUGCAACGCGAAGAACCUUACCUACUCUUGACAUCCAGAGAAUUUGCUAGAGAUAGCUUAGUGCCUUCGGGAACUCUGAGACAGGUGCUGCAUGGCUGUCGUCAGCUCGUGUUGUGAAAUGUUGGGUUAAGUCCCGCAACGAGCGCAACCCUUAUCCUUUGUUGCCAGCGAGUAAUGUCGGGAACUCAAAGGAGACUGCCGGUGAUAAACCGGAGGAAGGUGGGGAUGACGUCAAGUCAUCAUGGCCCUUACGAGUAGGGCUACACACGUGCUACAAUGGCAUAUACAAAGAGAAGCGAACUCGCGAGAGCAAGCGGACCUCAUAAAGUAUGUCGUAGUCCGGAUUGGAGUCUGCAACUCGACUCCAUGAAGUCGGAAUCGCUAGUAAUCGUAGAUCAGAAUGCUACGGUGAAUACGUUCCCGGGCCUU
This 455-nucleotide ribosomal RNA is filed under the name uncultured Enterobacteriaceae bacterium. RNAcentral's name for it is "bacterial SSU rRNA". It matches the Rfam family "Bacterial small subunit ribosomal RNA", at positions 929 to 1382 of the family's 1533-position model. The record is from RNAcentral. Lineage: Bacteria; Pseudomonadati; Pseudomonadota; Gammaproteobacteria; Enterobacterales; Enterobacteriaceae.